This 238-nucleotide long non-coding RNA is filed under the name Gossypium barbadense (sea-island cotton). Its description in RNAcentral is "long non-coding RNA (GBAR_LNC007336)". Lineage: Eukaryota; Viridiplantae; Streptophyta; Magnoliopsida; Malvales; Malvaceae. The record is from RNAcentral.
UCCAUCGCUUUAGUCAGAUAAAAUUUGUGGUCUUCUCUUCUGCAACUUUUAGAAAGGUAAGAUCUGAUAUCAUCGAUCAGCUCCACUGCAACUUCAAUUAGCUUCACUGUAACUUCAGGGAUAUAAAAUCUGUGUCUUCGAUUAAUUCCAGUCUUUAUUCUUUACUCGGCAUGUGAUCCUGAGCUUAACUCAUUUCUCGCAAUAUGAAUUGACUCUUUAAAACUAAACAUUAAAAACA